RNAcentral lists this small RNA (222 nucleotides) under Mycobacterium kansasii. Its description in RNAcentral is "c-di-AMP sequence". It matches the Rfam family "c-di-AMP riboswitch aptamer (ydaO/yuaA leader)". From Rfam's summary of the family: This family represents a conserved RNA structure found upstream of the ydaO and yuaA genes in Bacillus subtilis and related genes in other bacteria. The ydaO/yuaA element is thought to act as a genetic "off" switch for the ydaO and yuaA genes in its native state. It is believed that the element may be triggered during osmotic shock leading to activation of ydaO, a predicted amino acid transporter gene, and members of the yuaA-yubG operon which code for KtrA and KtrB K+ transporters. Lineage: Bacteria; Bacillati; Actinomycetota; Actinomycetes; Mycobacteriales; Mycobacteriaceae. The record is from RNAcentral.
GCCUACCACGCGCCGAGCUCCAUCCAGUAGGUGAGGGGUUCCGACCGCGGAUGGAGGCGGGGGACCACCAGGUCCGCCGAGAUCGGACCGGGGCCGGUUUACGGCCCUUGGGGUGAAGCCGACGUCGUCUCACCGGAGUACGACGCUGGCCGGGUGACCUCUCUGGUUUUGAACCAACCCGAACCCGACAGCUGACCUCGCAGGCGUGUACAGAGAGGAAUC